UAGGAAAACUAUUCGGUCAAG
RNAcentral lists this non-coding RNA (21 nucleotides) under Caenorhabditis elegans. The record is from RNAcentral. Lineage: Eukaryota; Metazoa; Nematoda; Chromadorea; Rhabditida; Rhabditidae.